Molecule: ribosomal RNA, 549 nt
Filed under: uncultured bacterium
Lineage: Bacteria
Description: bacterial SSU rRNA
Rfam family: Bacterial small subunit ribosomal RNA
Source: RNAcentral
CCUACGGGAGGCAGCAGUGGGGAAUUUUGGACAAUGGGCGCAAGCCUGAUCCAGCCAUUCCGCGUGAGUGAAGAAGGCCUUCGGGUUGUAAAGCUCUUUCGCAAGGGAAGAAAGAUUACAUUCUAAUAUAAUGUGAUUAUGACGGUACCUUGAUAAGAAGCACCGGCUAACUACGUGCCAGCAGCCGCGGUAAUACGUAGGGUGCGAGCGUUAAUCGGAAUUACUGGGCGUAAAGCGUGCGCAGGCUGUUUUGUAAGUCAGAUGUGAAAUCCCCGAGCUCAACUUGGGAACUGCGUUUGAAACUACAAGACUAGAAUAGGUCAGAGGGGGUAGAAUUCCACGUGUAGCAGUGAAAUGCGUAGAGAUGUGGAGGAAUAUCAAUGGCGAAGGCAGCCCCCUGGGAUCAUAUUGACGCUCAUGCACGAACGACGGUGGGGAGGACGAAACGAAGGAGUUAGUACUACCCGUACGGUACGUACCGACCGACCCGUAAACCGUAACUAGUACUAACUAGUUGUUGGUAGUAAGUAAAUACUAUAGAGUAACGAC